Molecule: long non-coding RNA, 727 nt
Filed under: Salvator merianae (Argentine black and white tegu)
Lineage: Eukaryota; Metazoa; Chordata; Lepidosauria; Squamata; Teiidae
Description: lncRNA (ENSSMRG00000020628.1)
Source: RNAcentral
CACCCAGGCUUUUCUUCCCUCCGACCAGGCUAACCCCUUGGUAAGAAGACAGGGGGUAGUCAGGGGGGGUUGCCGAGCUGCAGGAAUGCCGGAAACAGCUCCUGCUGGAAAAUGGCUCCUGCUGUUUCUCCCACGCAGGCUCUUCUAUCCCUCCCAGCUGGGCUCCCCCCUCAAUUAAAAGACGGGGAAGUCAAGAGGAGUUCCCAAUUGUCUUGUCUUCUCUUCUCCCCUCUGUUCUCAGCAUGAGAGGUGAUCCCAGUUUGAAACAACUGGAGCNGCAAAACAUGGGAAGUCAGGGGGUUUCCUGAGGAGCAGCUGGCUGGGUCUCCAGCGGCUGAGAGAUGCAGAGGGAAAUGCGGAAAGCGGAAUCUCUUUCUUCUCCCCUCUGUUGUUGGGUCAGGAGGUGUUGUUGGACCCCACCAGCAGCUGGCGCGAGUCCUCUCAGUCUGCUGCUUUGGAUGUCGCUUCACGUUCCUGACUGGGGAGUUGGGCACAGGAAAAAGCUUUUAUACUACGUGCCCCCUAGCGGUUGUUCAGAAUCAGGAGCAAUAAUGGGAGCACAACCCAUGGUGCUUAGGCUGAGUCCCUCAAGAAUGCACUAAUUUCUGUUUUGUCAGAUUCAGAAGAAUUCAGCACUCUCAUCAACAUAAAAAGACAAGGAAACCUUUUCAACCCAAGCAUGGCCUUCAUUUCUUGUAGACAGUUUUCUGAGAGCCACAAGCUGAGA